Molecule: ribosomal RNA, 459 nt
Filed under: uncultured bacterium
Lineage: Bacteria
Description: partial 16S ribosomal RNA
Rfam family: Bacterial small subunit ribosomal RNA
Source: RNAcentral
CCUACGGGAGGCAGCAGUGAGGAAUAUUGGUCAAUGGGCGCGAGCCUGAACCAGCCAAGUCGCGUGAGGGGAGACGGUCCUAUGGAUUGUAAACCUCUUUUGUCGGGGAGCCAAAGACGCCACGCGUGGCGUUCCGAGAGUCCCCGAAGAAACAGCAUCGGCUAACUCCGUGCCAGCAGCCGCGGUAAUACGGAGGAUGCGAGCGUUAUACGGAGUUAUUGGGUGUAAAGGGUGCGCAGGGGGAAGAUCACGUCAGCGGUAAAAUUGAGAGGCUCAACCUCAUCGGGCCGUUGAAACUGGUUUUCUUGAGUGAGCGAGAAGUAUGCGGAAUGCGGGGUGUAGCGGUGAAAUGCAGAGAUAUGACGAAGAACCCCGAUUGCGAAGGCAGCUUGCUGCAGCGGAACUGACGCUGAUGCUCGAAAGCGCGGGUAUCGAACAGGAUUAGAUACCCUUGUAGUC